This 496-nucleotide ribosomal RNA is filed under the name uncultured bacterium. RNAcentral describes it as "partial 16S ribosomal RNA". It matches the Rfam family "Bacterial small subunit ribosomal RNA", at positions 28 to 506 of the family's 1533-position model. The record is from RNAcentral.
GAUGAACGCUGGCGGCGUGCCUAAUACAUGCAAGUCGAGCGAACAGACGAGGAGCUUGCUCCUCUGACGUUAGCGGCGGACGGGUGAGUAACACGUGGAUAACCUACCUAUAAGACUGGGAUAACUUCGGGAAACCGGAGCUAAUACCGGAUAAUAUAUUGAACCGCAUGGUUCAAUAGUGAAAGACGGUUUUGCUGUCACUUAUAGAUGGAUCCGCGCCGCAUUAGCUAGUUGGUAAGGUAACGGCUUACCAAGGCAACGAUGCGUAGCCGACCUGAGAGGGUGAUCGGCCACACUGGAACUGAGACACGGUCCAGACUCCGACGGGAGGCAGCAGUAGGGAAUCUUCCGCAAUGGGCGAAAGCCUGACGGAGCAACGCCGCGUGAGUGAUGAAGGUCUGCGGAUCGUAAAACUCUGUUAUUAGGGAAGAACAAAUGUGUAAGUAACUAUGCACGUCUGGACGGUACCUAAGCAGAAAGCCACGGCUAACUACGG